CCCUUAGAUGUUCUGGGCCGCACGCGCGCUACACUGACGAAUGCAACGAGCUUAUAACCUUGGCCGAAAGGUCUGGGUAAUCUCCAAAUUUCGUCGUGAUGGGGAUAGAUUAUUGCAAUUAUUAAUCUUCAACGAGGAAUGCCUAGUAAGCGCAAGCCAUCAGCUUGCGUUGAUUACGUCCCUGCCCUUUGUACACACCGCCCGUCGCUCCUACCGAUUGAAUGGUCCGGUGAAGCGUUCGGACCGUGGCCUUUGGACGGUUCGCCGUCUGUUGGCUGCGGGAAGUUCGUUAAACCUUNUNAUUUAGNGGAAGGAGAANUCGUANCA
This 327-nucleotide ribosomal RNA is filed under the name uncultured eukaryote. Its description in RNAcentral is "partial 18S ribosomal RNA". It matches the Rfam family "Eukaryotic small subunit ribosomal RNA", at positions 1470 to 1796 of the family's 1831-position model. The record is from RNAcentral.